AGCGAACAUUGGCGGUAGGCUUAACACAUGCAAGUCGAGCGAGGCGUAAUAGUCGAGCGGCGAACGGGUGAGUAAUACAUGGGAAUCUACCUCGAAGUGGGGGAUAACGUUCAGAAAUGGACGCUAAUACCGCAUAAUCCGGGAACGGGGAAGCGCGCUGCGCUUUGAGAUGAGCCCAUGGCUGAUUAGCUAGUUGGUGGGGUAAAGGCCUACCAAGGCGACGAUCAGUAGCUGGUCUGAGAGGAUGAUUAGCCACACUGGGACUGAGACACGGUCCAGACUCCUACGGGAGGCAGCAGUGGGGAAUCUUGCGCAAUGGGGGCAACCCUGACGCAGCCAUACCGCGUGUGUGAUGAAGGUCUUCGGAUUGUAAAGCACUUUCAGUAGGGACGACGGUGACGGUACCUACAGAAGAAGUCACGGCUAACUUCGUGCCAGCAGCCGCGGUAA
RNAcentral lists this ribosomal RNA (450 nucleotides) under uncultured bacterium. RNAcentral describes it as "partial 16S ribosomal RNA". It matches the Rfam family "Bacterial small subunit ribosomal RNA", at positions 29 to 523 of the family's 1533-position model. The record is from RNAcentral.